UUGAUCUCACAAGAAGGAGCUAACCCCUUAGCUAUGAGGUCUUUACUCUUUUUCCCUUAUCAAAGUUUUGUCCCAAUGGGUUUUGUUUGGUAAGGUUUUUAAUGAGGAAGAUCUCAUGGCUAUCCAAGCUUAGACUUUCACAAAGCUAAGCUUGAGGGGGAGUGUUGAGAUGAGUUGAGUAUAUGUGGAGCAAGUGAGGAGUUGAGACUAAGG
RNAcentral lists this long non-coding RNA (213 nucleotides) under Brassica napus (rape). RNAcentral describes it as "long non-coding RNA (BNAP_LNC001779)". Lineage: Eukaryota; Viridiplantae; Streptophyta; Magnoliopsida; Brassicales; Brassicaceae. The record is from RNAcentral.